Vicugna pacos (alpaca) is the source of this 1096-nucleotide non-coding RNA. The record is from RefSeq and is a predicted model, not a curated record. NCBI's taxonomy places the organism in Eukaryota, Metazoa, Chordata, Mammalia, Artiodactyla, Camelidae.
UCUCCUGUUCCUGGAUCCUUGCUGUAGAAUUGUAGGAAACACGGAGUUCACGGUGCAUCAGCCAGAAAGGAUCUCUCCCUUUUGGGGAAGGUCUGGGGCCCCGGCCUAGACACCACGUGUGCGCCCCGCCUGCACUGCGUUCCCACGGUGCCCGGCCUCCUCGCCCGCUUUACGGCUGUUGUUUUCUCCAUCAUGGCCAGGAUUUGGGGAUUUUUCACUCUGCUUAGUGCCAGGGCUUUUUCCUUUCUCAGCCUGAAGACAGCCACUCUUGCUGCUCCCCGAGAAGCCCAGCCUCGCCUUGUCACUGUGCCCAGGACAGAUCUGGGGCUUGUGAAUGAGGGUGCCUCCUACCUGUGAGCUCAACUGUGUGCUGUGUGAUAUCACCGGCCUUGUCUCCCCGGGUGUGAGGUGACGCCUCAGAGCGGGCCUGGGACGCCCUCCACCUGGCCAGGCCUCCUGCCACUCCCGCCUCAUUCUCCUCACCAGCUGUCAUUACACCCACGAGAAAAGUGCACACGUUGGCUGAUGAAAUUAAUAUUAGAAAGCAUCACUAAAAUAAACCCUUUCAGGUCAGAUCCACCAGGAAGUGUUUAACAGACAAACCGUUCCAUCUGCCGCCUUGAAGGUGAAGGUUCUUCCCCAGGGCUGAUGUCACUUGCAUCUCUGUGAUAUUUCCUGAGCACCUGCUGCUUUUCCCCUACAUUCCUACUCAUCCAGGCACUGUUUCAGGUACUGCCUCGAAGAGACUACGUGCUUAGGCACCUCUUGAAAUCCCACUAAUGUGGAGAAAUCUUUCCCUGUGAUUUGGCACAGAAGCUGAUGCUUCCUCUCCAAGGUGACAGCUCGGCAGUGAGAGAAAUUUCAGGUGCCUUCCUGGAACAGUUAUCUGAUGUUUCUGAGUGUGAUCACCAAUGUUCCUAAUAGGACCUUCCUAUAAGCAGUUGGUUGAGCAGCUGUGUGUAUGAGACAUGGAGAGAAAGAGGGAGAUAAUAUAGUUGUCACUAUUGUUUCUAAAUGACAAGACUGGUUUUAUUACUGUGGUACAAUUAUUAGUGCUGCAUAUCACCUCUGUAUUAAAAAAGUUUUUUUUAACAAA